RNAcentral lists this ribosomal RNA (460 nucleotides) under uncultured bacterium. RNAcentral's name for it is "partial 16S ribosomal RNA". It matches the Rfam family "Bacterial small subunit ribosomal RNA", at positions 338 to 795 of the family's 1533-position model. The record is from RNAcentral.
CCUACGGGUGACAGCAGUGAGGAAUAUUGGUCAAUGGGCGAGAGCCUGAACCAGCCAAGUCGCGUGAAGGAUGACGGCCCUACGGGUUGUAAACUUCUUUUGUCAGGGAGCAAUUUGGUCCACGCGUGCGCUUAGCGAGAGUCUCUGAAGAAAAAGCAUCGGCUAACUCCGUGCCAGCAGCCGCGGUAAUACGGAGGAUGCGAGCGUUAUCCGGAUUUAUUGGGUUUAAAGGGUGCGUAGGCGGAAUUUCAAGUCAGCGGUAAAAAUUCGGGGCUCAACCCCGUCGUGCCGUUGAAACUGGUGGUCUUGAGUGGGCGAGAGGUAUGCGGAAUGCGUGGUGUAGCGGUGAAAUGCAUAGAUAUCACGCAGAACUCCGAUUGCGAAGGCAGCAUACCGGCGCCCAACUGACGCUGAAGCACGAAAGCGUGGGUAUCGAACAGGAUUAGAUACCCUAGUAGUC